AUUGAACGCUGGCGGCACGCUUUACACAUGCAAGUCGAACGGUAACAGGUUAAGCUGACGAGUGGCGAACGGGUGAGUAAUGCAUCGGAACGUGCCCGGUCGUGGGGGAUAACGCAGCGAAAGCUGCGCUAAUACCGCAUACGAUCUGAGGAUGAAAGCGGGGGACCGUAAGGCCUCGCGCGAUCGGAGCGGCCGAUGUCAGAUUAGGUAGUUGGUGGGUGAAAGGCUCACCAAGCCAACGAUCUGUAGCUGGUCUGAGAGGACGACCAGCCACACUGGGACGGAGACACGGCCCAGAGUCCUACGGGAGGCAGCAGUGGGGAAUUUUGGACAAUGGGCGAAAGCCUGAUCCAGCAAUGCCGCGUGCAGGAAGAAGGCCUUCGGGUUGUAAACUGCUUUUGUACGGAGCGAAAAGGUCUCCUCUAAUAAAGAGGGUUCAUGACGGUACCGUAAGAAUAAGCACCGGCUAACUACGUGCCAGCCGCCGCCGUAA
Molecule: ribosomal RNA, 493 nt
Filed under: uncultured bacterium
Lineage: Bacteria
Description: partial 16S ribosomal RNA
Rfam family: Bacterial small subunit ribosomal RNA
Source: RNAcentral